GCUCGUCAUCUUCUCGGGAACACCCUCCCUCCCUCUCUCUCUCUCUCUCUCGUCUGUCCUUUUCUCUGCCCUUUUAUAUAAUACUCCACCUGUGUGUUUUAAGUUCUAGCUAGAACAAACACUCCAGCUAGUGUUCUUCACUGCACUUGUUUAGCUAGCUGCUCCUUCCCUUUCUUCUUUGUCGGUGUUAAAGAUCAAGAGCAAACGGAGAGAUAAAUCAGAAUGGUUCUCAAGCUGAUCAAGAAGGAGGAGGAUGAAUUGCCUGGCGGGAGAUCAUGCGUGCAUGCUACACAUUCAAUUCUUUUCUCAAGUUUCUUUGGUCCAAAGAAGGACCAUUUGUGAGUGGGGUUUGCUUCUGGGUGCUUUGGUUUCGGUUACGAUCCAUCGAUCGAGAGGCAAACAGGUUAAAAACUCAGCGGCGUACAUGGGAAGGCCAGGCAUUUGACAUGAUCCCUUUUUUUUUUCUUUUUUUUAUCUUUGCUUGUGUUCAUGUUCUUGAUUUUGUUUUCCUUGUCGAGUUAUGGUUUAUAAAAUAUGGGGAAUAGGGAUAAAUAGCUAGCUAUAGAGAGAUGGAGUUCAACUGCUCUUAGAAUCUUGCAAUGAAAGUAAUAAGGUUUGGCUGGUUUCCCAGGUAUCUCUUCCUUGCAAUUUGCAAUCCUUUUUUUGUCAUCCAAUGAUAAAAUAUUAGGGCUACUUUCUGAAUAUAAACAGU
Molecule: long non-coding RNA, 712 nt
Filed under: Populus tremula
Lineage: Eukaryota; Viridiplantae; Streptophyta; Magnoliopsida; Malpighiales; Salicaceae
Description: long non-coding RNA (PTRE_LNC001778)
Source: RNAcentral